AGAGUUUGAUCCUGGCUCAGAACGAACGCUGGCGGCGUGCCUGAGACAUGCAAGUCGUGGGAGAAAGUCGUAGCAAUACGGCAAGUAAACCGGCGCACGGGUGAGUAACACGUGGACAACCUGCCUUAGAGUCUGGGAUAACCCGUCGAAAGACGAGCUAAUACCGGAUAAGACCACGGGAAGUUCGCUUCCUGAGGUAAAAGAUGGCCUCUGCUCCUGCAAGCUAUCACUUUGAGAGGGGUCCGCGCCCUAUCAGCUAGUUGGCGAGGUAACGGCUCACCAAGGCUAAGGCGGGUAGCUGGUCUGAGAGGAUGGUCAGCCACACUGGGACUGAGACACGGCCCAGAGUCCUACGGGAUGCAGCAGUCAGGAAUAUUGCGCAAUGGAGGAAACUCUGACGCAGCGACGCCGCGUGGGUGAUGAA
This 424-nucleotide ribosomal RNA is filed under the name uncultured bacterium. Its description in RNAcentral is "bacterial SSU rRNA". It matches the Rfam family "Bacterial small subunit ribosomal RNA", at positions 8 to 412 of the family's 1533-position model. The record is from RNAcentral.